This 440-nucleotide ribosomal RNA is filed under the name uncultured bacterium. RNAcentral's name for it is "partial 16S ribosomal RNA". It matches the Rfam family "Bacterial small subunit ribosomal RNA", at positions 339 to 795 of the family's 1533-position model. The record is from RNAcentral.
CUACGGGGUGCAGCAGUGAGGAAUAUUGCACAAUGGGGGGAACCCUGAUGCAGCAACGCCGCGUGGAGGAUGACGCAUUUCGGUGUGUAAACUCCUUUUAUAUGUCAAGAAAAUGACGGUAGCAUAUGAAUAAGCACCGGCUAACUCCGUGCCAGCAGCUCGCGGUAAUACGGAGGGUGCAAGCGUUACUCGGAAUCACUGGGCGUAAAGGACGCGUAGGCGGGGUGGAAAGUCAGGUGUGAAAUCCUACAGCUUAACUGUAGAACUGCACUUGAAACUUCUAAUCUAGAGUAUGGGAGGGGGAGAUGGAAUUAGUGGUGUAGGGGUAAAAUCCGUAGAUAUCACUAGGAAUACCUAAAGCGAAGGCGAUCUCCUGGAACAUUACUGACGCUAAGGCGUGAAAGCGUGGGGAGCAAACAGGAUUAGAUACCCGGGUAGUC